Molecule: ribosomal RNA, 17 nt
Filed under: Tulasnella sp. MUT4217
Lineage: Eukaryota; Fungi; Basidiomycota; Agaricomycetes; Cantharellales; Tulasnellaceae
Description: partial 28S ribosomal RNA
Source: RNAcentral
UGACUCUCAUGGGUAGA